UUCAAAUGUUUCGUUGGUUACAGCUCUGAUUUUAUCUGGUCCUGGUCUGCUCCAUUCUUGCCCUUUUAAGGUCCUCCUCUGGCCAGUUAUAGCACCUCUGGGCCCCAGCCCAAAGUCUCUGUGUUGGGUAAACACUAUAUUCCCAUUAAGACGGAUGAGUCUUUGUCAGCAGUGCUGUUGGAGAAACCAUCUGUUAGGUCCAGGCCAUCUGUGCUUUAGGAAAGUCCUGGAAUGCUGUUGAAGUGUAGAGCGACCCAGCCUUCCAUCCUGGUGGAGAAUAGUCUGCCUGCUUAGAUGUGUGAAGAGGUCGUUAUGCAUUACCUUGUUGAGUCCUCCAAAACCUUGUGAGUUUCAUGCAGGUUCAUGUGAGGCAGCAGGACCCUGGGACCCACCCUGACGCCAAUCUAUCCUCCCUGCUCCUGACUCUGGAGCCUCAGGGCUCAGACCAGUGGCUGGACAGGUCUUUCCUUCUGGUAUAUUUGAGCUUCAACCCUGAAUAUUGUUUGGAAGGACUGAUGCUGAAACUCCAAUACUUUGGCCACCUGAUGCAAAGAACUGACUCAUUGGAAAACACCCUGAUGCUGGAAAAGACUGAGGGCAGGAGGAGAAGGGGACAACAGAGAAUAAGAUGGUUGGAUGGCAUCAUUGACUCAAUGGACAUGAGUUUAAGUAAGCUCUGGGAGAUGGUGAAGGACAGGAAAGCCUGGCAUGCUGCAGUCUGUGAGGUUGCAGAGUCAGACACAACUGAGCAAUUGAACAAGUAGAUAAGCAAAUGAAUCCCAGAAUCCUACUUUGAGGGUCUUCUCUUGGAGUCAUUAUGUAAUACAGAUUUCCCCUGCUAUCUGAAAGUAGAGUGUCCUGUGAAACCUUGUGUAAGUUAAAACAGCAUAAAGUGAAGAAGCAAUUGUCUUAGGACACACCUUGCU
This 926-nucleotide long non-coding RNA is filed under the name Bos indicus x Bos taurus (hybrid cattle). Its description in RNAcentral is "lncRNA (ENSBIXG00000016169.1)". Lineage: Eukaryota; Metazoa; Chordata; Mammalia; Artiodactyla; Bovidae. The record is from RNAcentral.